CAGCAGCCGCGGGAACACGUAGGUGGCAAGCGUUGUCCGGAAUUAUUGGGCGUAAAGGGCUCGCAGGCGGUUUCUUAAGUCUGAUGUGAAAGCCCCCGGCUCAACCGGGGAGGGUCAUUGGAAACUGGGAAACUUGAGUGCAGAAGAGGAGAGUGGAAUUCCACGCGUAGCGGUGAAAUGCGUAGAGAUGUGGAGGAACACCAGUGGCGAAGGCGACUCUCUGGUCUGUAACUGACGCUGAGGAGCGAAAGCGUGGGGAGCGAACAGGAUUAGAUACCCGUGUAGUCCCUGUCUCUUAUAC
Molecule: ribosomal RNA, 301 nt
Filed under: uncultured bacterium
Lineage: Bacteria
Description: partial 16S ribosomal RNA
Rfam family: Bacterial small subunit ribosomal RNA
Source: RNAcentral